Molecule: ribosomal RNA, 416 nt
Filed under: uncultured bacterium
Lineage: Bacteria
Description: bacterial SSU rRNA
Rfam family: Bacterial small subunit ribosomal RNA
Source: RNAcentral
AGCGAACGUUAGCGGCAGGCCUAACACAUGCAAGUCGCACGAGAAUCCGGCUUCGGUCGGUAGUAAAGUGGCGGACGGGUGAGUAACACGUGGAUAAUCUGCCCUUCGGCGGGGGACGAACAGUCCGAAGGAUUGCUAAUACCGCAUACGUCAGCGAGGUCUUCGGACCUUGUUGGGAAAGAUGGCCUCUUCAUGAAAGCUAUCACCGAAGGAUGAGUCCGCGGCCCANCAGCUAGUUGGCGGGGUAAGUGGCCCACCAAGGCUUAGACGGGUAGCUGGUCUGAGAGGAUGAUCAGCCACACUGGAACUGAGACACGGUCCAGACUCCUACGGGAGGCAGCAGUGGGAAUAUUGGGCAAUGGGCGCAAGCCUGACCCAGCCAUGCCGCGUGAGUGAUGAAGGCCUUCGGGUCGUAA